Small nucleolar RNA from Cavia porcellus (domestic guinea pig), 137 nucleotides. The record is from Ensembl. Lineage: Eukaryota; Metazoa; Chordata; Mammalia; Rodentia; Caviidae.
AUGGCCCUGAAUCAAGGCUGGCAGCUUUCUGAAGCUGUUGGUUUCAAUCAGGAGGCAAAGUGGUAUCUUUCUAUGAUCUCACUUGCCACUUGAGAACUUUAGAAACGUAAUGGUCAAUUCAUCAGAAAGAAACAACA